GGAUUUAAAAGUAGAAAACCAAGACUAGGCACAGUCACUUCACAGCAACAGGUCAACAUGUCAGGGAUCAGAUCACAUGACCAACUACAGUUAAAGGUUGCCA
Sander lucioperca (pikeperch) is the source of this 103-nucleotide long non-coding RNA. RefSeq lists it as uncharacterized. The transcript has 3 exons. NCBI's taxonomy places the organism in Eukaryota, Metazoa, Chordata, Actinopteri, Perciformes, Percidae. The record is from RefSeq and is a predicted model, not a curated record.